Molecule: ribosomal RNA, 374 nt
Filed under: uncultured bacterium
Lineage: Bacteria
Description: bacterial SSU rRNA
Rfam family: Bacterial small subunit ribosomal RNA
Source: RNAcentral
GAUGAACGUUGGCGGCGUGCUUAAUACAUGCAAGUCGAACGAGGAGCCUGGUACUUGUAUCGGGAAUUCCUAGUGGCGAACGGGUGAGUAACGCGUUGGUGAUCUGCCCCGAAGUGAGGAACAACAGUUCGAAAGGACUGCUAAUACCUCAUGUGGUCAUGGAAUUUAGAAACCCAUGUCUAAAGGAUUUAUUCGCUUCGGGAGGAGCCUGCGUCCCAUCAGCUAGUUGGUAAGGUAACGGCCUACCAAGGCGAUGACGGGUAGGGGGCCUGAGAGGGUGGCCCCCCACAAUGGUACUGAAACACGGACCAUACACCUACGGGUGGCAGCAGUAGGGAAUAUUGCCCAAUGGACGAAAGUCUGAGGCAGCAACG